GUGGGUGGCAAGCGUUGUCCGGAAUUAUUGGGCGUAAAGCGCGCGCAGGCGGUUCUUUAAGUCUGAUGUGAAAGCCCACGGCUCAACCGUGGAGGGUCAUUGGAAACUGGAGAACUUGAGUACAGAAGAGGAAAGCGGAAUUCCACGUGUAGCGGUGAAAUGCGUAGAGAUGUGGAGGAACACCAGUGGCGAAGGCGGCUUUCUGGUCUGUAACUGACGCUGAGGCGCGAAAGCGUGGGGAGCAAACAGGAUUAGAUACCCUGGUAGUCCACGCCGUAAACGAUGAGUGCUAAGUGUUAGGGGGGUUUUCCGCCCCCCUUAGUGCUGCAGCUAACGCAUUAAGCACUCCGCCUGGGAGUACGGCCGCAAGGCCG
This 374-nucleotide ribosomal RNA is filed under the name uncultured organism. RNAcentral describes it as "partial 16S ribosomal RNA". It matches the Rfam family "Bacterial small subunit ribosomal RNA", at positions 527 to 896 of the family's 1533-position model. The record is from RNAcentral.